AACGACGCUGGCGGCAUGCCUAACACAUGCAAGUCGAACGAGACCUUCGGGUCUAGUGGCGCACGGGUGCGUAACGCGUGGGAAUCUGCCCUUCGGUUCGGAAUAACUCAGGGAAACUUGAGCUAAUACCGGAUAAUGACGUAAGUCCAAAGAUUUAUCGCCGAAGGAUGAGCCCGCGUAGGAUUAGCUUGUUGGUGGGGUAAUGGCCUACCAAGGCGACGAUCAGUAGUUGGUCUGAGAGGACGACCAGCCACACUGGGACUGAGACACGGCCCAGACUCCUACGGGAGGCAGCAGUGGGGAAUUUUGGACAAUGGGCGCAAGCCUGAUCCAGCAAUGCCGCGUGAGUGAAGAAGGCCUUCGGGUUGUAAAGCUCUUUCAGUCGAGAAGAAAAAGCUGCAGUGAAUAACUGUAGUUCAUGACGGUAUCGACAGAAGAAGCACCGGCUAACUACGUGCCAGCAGCC
This 466-nucleotide ribosomal RNA is filed under the name uncultured bacterium. Its description in RNAcentral is "bacterial SSU rRNA". It matches the Rfam family "Bacterial small subunit ribosomal RNA", at positions 33 to 516 of the family's 1533-position model. The record is from RNAcentral.